UAUUCAUCUUCACACCUCUCUCUCUCUCUCUUCAACUCAGAAGAACAUCGACUCUGAACAAAACAGGAGAACAUCAAAGCGAUCUCUGAUCCGGCCUGCUCAUGCUGCUCUCCAUCUCCGAUUAGGCCUCCACUCAUCUACGGUCUCAAUUUGUCCCCAUUUUCAUGUCGAUUAGGGUUUUAGCGUUUCACAAUCGCCUUCGAAUUCAACAAUCAGAUCGCAAAUCAUCAACAAGUUCUUCAAGAAAAAUAGUGCAUUGGGAGAAGAUUUGGAUUGGGAACGGAAUGUAAAGCCGCCACCUGUAAUCACGGAGGUGGUUUCUUAGUCCAUUGAAGAACUAAUCAUGAAACGUAUAUCUGAGGGGCACUUUGAUGAUGUUCAAAAAGUUAAUAAGUUGCCUUCUAAAACACCAAGGGAAAUGAAGGAAUUGCUUGAAUGUUAACUUUGCUGGAUGAAAAUUAGACUAAGAAGGGCCUUGGCGAAUUAUAUGUGGAUGAGUAUGCUCAAAAGACUGGACUGGUUUCACAAGCAUUGUCUUUCUCCGAUGAGCAAAAGAAGGAGUCGGUAGCUUCAAUUAAUCAACCAGCUUGGAAGGAGCUUUUAACCUAUGAAUCCUAUAAAAGAGAAGACAUGGUUACAAUUCAGGCUGGAGAAAAGGCUGCAAGCUGUAUUUCGGAUGUGUCUUAAAUCAAUGACUUGAGUUUUGUGAAAGAACUGAACAACAGCUCUUAUUGUUUUUUAGUAUAAACAAAUAUGAAAAGAACUGUCAUUGAUGGCUGAAUUCAGAUCUGUUUCCAAUCGACGGAGUGACGCCACGAUGACAGAAAUGGUGUUUUUCAAGAUUUUUGACCCUUACCAGCAACCGUUAUGUUGUUUAUCGUCUUCGAUAAUGGUUCAGUGUGUGUGUGUGUAUAAGUGUGUGUUGCAGAAGAUAAGGGAGUGAGUUUGAUUGGUGAUUUGAGUUUGGGUUAUUGGAGGUUUGACCACUGGAUUGAGGAAGCCUAUUCAGAAGUAGAAUCAAAGGAGAUCUAGAGGGCCAGUUUCACAUUUGAAGGGCAACAGUCUGGUAAGUAUUAAAAUCCCAAAUUGAUGUAGAUUUUGAUGAAUUUAAUCACUAUUUUUAGUUCUUAAUGUAACAGUAGGGAGAUAGUAUUGCACUUAUAUAAAGUUAUGGUUUUUGUGUUGAUCGUUUGUUUUACACUUUGGCUAACUCAUCUAUUUGUUUACAAGCAUAUAUCAAAGCUACAUGGUGACUUAUUUUG
This 1262-nucleotide long non-coding RNA is filed under the name Helianthus annuus (common sunflower). Its description in RNAcentral is "hypothetical non coding rna". Lineage: Eukaryota; Viridiplantae; Streptophyta; Magnoliopsida; Asterales; Asteraceae. The record is from RNAcentral.